RNAcentral lists this ribosomal RNA (253 nucleotides) under uncultured bacterium. RNAcentral describes it as "partial 16S ribosomal RNA". It matches the Rfam family "Bacterial small subunit ribosomal RNA", at positions 524 to 776 of the family's 1533-position model. The record is from RNAcentral.
UACGUAGGGUGCAAGCGUUAAUCGGAAUUACUGGGCGUAAAGCGUGCGCAGGCGGUUUUGUAAGUCAGAUGUGAAAUCCCCGGGCUUAACCUGGGAACUGCGUUUGAAACUACAAGGCUAGAGUGUGGCAGAGGGGGGUGGAAUUCCACGUGUAGCAGUGAAAUGCGUAGAGAUGUGGAGGAACACCUGUGGCGAAGGCGGCCCCCUGGUUGGAUACUGACGCUGAGACGCGAAAGCGUGGGGAGCAAACAGG